This 334-nucleotide ribosomal RNA is filed under the name Salmonella enterica subsp. enterica serovar Oslo. RNAcentral's name for it is "partial 23S ribosomal RNA". It matches the Rfam family "Bacterial large subunit ribosomal RNA", at positions 460 to 796 of the family's 2925-position model. The record is from RNAcentral. Lineage: Bacteria; Pseudomonadati; Pseudomonadota; Gammaproteobacteria; Enterobacterales; Enterobacteriaceae.
CCAAGGCUAAAUACUCCUGACUGACCGAUAGUGAACCAGUACCGUGAGGGAAAGGCGAAAAGAACCCCGGCGAGGGGAGUGAAAAAGAACCUGAAACCGUGUACGUACAAGCAGUGGGAGCACCCUUCGGGGUGUGACUGCGUACCUUUUGUAUAAUGGGUCAGCGACUUAUAUUCUGUAGCAAGGUUAACCGAAUAGGGGAGCCGGAGGGAAACCGAGUCUUAACCGGGCGUUAAGUUGCAGGGUAUAGACCCGAAACCCGGUGAUCUAGCCAUGGGCAGGUUGAAGGUUGGGUAACACUAACUGGAGGACCGAACCGACUAAUGUUGAAAAA